UCCACACCAAGAAACCCUCCAAAUGUCCCACCAAUUUCCAUGGCCACCGCCAUCAAGCUGGCAUUCCGCCAUGCUUGUAAUUGUAUUAACUUAUCUCGCUUAUUAUGUGGCCCAAGUUCAAAUUCUCUUAUCACCCAAGCAAACCCAAAAGUUCAAACAACGUUAAGUUCAAUUACGACCAGAAUUAUGUCAUACUUGGGUCCUCUGCAACGGACACAAGCACCACAUAUUUUACCUUAUAAUGUCAAUGAUAUCCAAUUACAGAGUUUAUGCCAGCCACGUAAUCCAGUAAAUCUUGGAGAAACUACACUCAGUCUGUCAUUCCAGGCAGUUAUUGCUUUGGCUCUUUCAUUACAGAGCUCCUCUUCGGCUCAGGAUCAGACUCAGUCUCAAAACAUGGAAAUUAUGAAUGUUGUUCAAGUUAUUAUGGUGAUUGCCUUUGCAGCAUCUUUUAUAGGGAUCUGUUUGCAUGAGGCCUGUCCAAGGCUUUCACGCAUCAUUCAGAAAAUUGGGUCCCUAUUUGCUGUAGUUGGCAUAUUUUUACUAGUGAGUGUGUUCCAAAAAGGCAAAUUAAUUUGGAUCAAUUGGCUAGUUGGUUCAUUGUCCUUUCUAGCCUUUCUCUGGUCCAUCAAGUGAAUCAUUAUGUUAAUGUGAUUGGAGUUUAUCAAAAUAUUUAAUGUCACCAUGUGAAAAAGUUGUCAACUCCGCCUGUGUUGUAUUUAAACAGUCGACACAGCCGGUCCCAAGCCCGGAUAAAGGAGGAGGGUUAUCAUCAUGUCGGAGAUCAAAUUUUGGUCGCGCACUGUUUACACCGCAUUUCUCCAGCAGCCCGAUCCUAGUGUAGCUUGCAGAAGAAGGGAACUCGAACCCUUUUUUUCUAAAAUCAAAUAGAAGAAGAUCUUGGUUCCUGGAUACUGCUGCUGUUGAAGGGCGACCUUGAAUUAAUCUUGCUGAAAAGGGACAAUCUUUAAUGCAGUUACUGUUUCUGUAAUGGAGGGACAAAGACAAACUAUUCUGUAGAUCAGUUAUCCUAAAAGAUUUGAGGAGAGUCUGCUUCAAUUGGUUUGCAUGAGAACUUUGCCGAUUUGGAGAGACAACUUGUUUGCAAUCAGCAUCGAUCAGAGACACCCACAUAUCUGCUUGAUGAGCCAUAUAUGCCUACAAAAUCAAUUGCACUGAUACCAGUAAUUUGUGUGAGAACUAUUAAUAACUGUAUUGAUGAUGUAUAACUAUAAAUUACUAGUUUUUCUAAUAUAGUUAGUGAUGAUCAAGGUGAGAUUAUA
Ricinus communis (castor bean) is the source of this 1283-nucleotide long non-coding RNA. RefSeq lists it as uncharacterized. Lineage: Eukaryota; Viridiplantae; Streptophyta; Magnoliopsida; Malpighiales; Euphorbiaceae. The transcript has 2 exons. The record is from RefSeq and is a predicted model, not a curated record.